UGCAGCGACGCCGCGUGAGUGAUGAAGGCCUUCGGGUCGUAAAGCUCUGUUGUACGGGAGAAAAAACUAUGGCUAAUAUUCAUAGUCUUGACGGUACCGUAUCAGAAAGGACCGGCUAACUUCGUGCCAGCAGCCGCGGUAAGACGAGGGGUCCUAGCGUUGUUCGGAAUCGCUGGGCGUAAAGCGUAUGUAGGCGGGCUUUUAAGUCGGGUGUGAAAUCCCAUGGCUCAACCAUGGAAUUGCAUUCGAAACUGGAAGUCUUGAGUGUGGGAGAGAUUGGUAGAAUACCUGGUGUAGUGGUGAAAUACGUAGAUAUCAGGUGGAAUACCGGUGGCGAAGGCGGCCAAUUGGCCCAACACUGACGCUGAGACGCGAAAGCGUGGGGAGCAAACAGGAUUAGAUACCCUGGUAGUCCACGCCGUAAACGAUGGGUGCUAGGUGUCGCGGGCUUUGACCCCUGCGGUGCCGUAGCUAACGCAUUAAGCACCCCGCCUGGGGAGUACGGCCGCAAGGCUA
Molecule: ribosomal RNA, 516 nt
Filed under: uncultured Pseudomonadota bacterium
Lineage: Bacteria; Pseudomonadati; Pseudomonadota
Description: bacterial SSU rRNA
Rfam family: Bacterial small subunit ribosomal RNA
Source: RNAcentral